AGCGAACGCUGGCGGCAGGCUUAACACAUGCAAGUCGAGCGGGCACUUCGGUGUCAGCGGCAGACGGGUGAGUAACACGUGGGAACGUACCCUUUGGUUCGGAAUAACGCUGGGAAACUAGCGCUAAUACCGGAUACGCCCUUUUGGGGAAAGGCUUGCUGCCGAAGGAUCGGCCCGCGUCUGAUUAGCUAGUUGGGGGGUAAUGGCCUACCAAGGCGACGAUCAGUAGCUGGUCUGAGAGGAUGAUCAGCCACACUGGGACUGAGACACGGCCCAGACUCCUACGGGAGGCAGCAGUGGGGAAUAUUAGACAAUGGGCGCAAGCCUGAUCCAGCCAUGCCGCGUGAGUGAUGAAGGCCUUAGGGUUGUAAAGCUCUUUUGUCCGGGACGAUAAUGACGGUACCGGAAGAAUAAGCCCCGGCUAACUUCGUG
Molecule: ribosomal RNA, 432 nt
Filed under: uncultured bacterium
Lineage: Bacteria
Description: partial 16S ribosomal RNA
Rfam family: Bacterial small subunit ribosomal RNA
Source: RNAcentral